RNAcentral lists this transfer RNA (26 nucleotides) under Mugil liza (liza mullet). Its description in RNAcentral is "partial tRNA-Thr". The record is from RNAcentral. Lineage: Eukaryota; Metazoa; Chordata; Actinopteri; Mugiliformes; Mugilidae.
UGGAGGUUAGAAUCCUCCCUAGUACA